RNAcentral lists this ribosomal RNA (298 nucleotides) under uncultured eukaryote. RNAcentral describes it as "partial 18S ribosomal RNA". It matches the Rfam family "Eukaryotic small subunit ribosomal RNA", at positions 1470 to 1796 of the family's 1831-position model. The record is from RNAcentral.
CCCUUAGACACUCUAGGCGGCACGCGCGCUACAAUGGGUGGAAGAACGUGUUACUGCCUCCGAAAGGAGGGGUGAAUCACGAAUUCUUGCCCGUGAAUGGGAUAGUUUGUUGCAAUUUUCGGACUUGAACUAGGAAUCCCUUGUAAACAUGCUCAAGAAUAGCGUGUUGAAUACGUCCCUGCCGUUUGUACACACCGCCCGUCGUUUCUUCCGACUGAUACUCAUUGUGAGUUGCAAGGACCCUUUAUUGGGAAAUUGCUGCGAAUGCUUUGUAUUGGAGGAAGAAAAAGUCGUAACA